UAAAAGAGAGGAGAUUGUCAUUGGUUUGAUGAUAGGAGGGUGAAAUAGGAGGGACUUAGGGAGUGAUUAAGUCCUUGAGGUUUCUUGAUGAUUAUCCCUGCUUUUCUUACAGGCAGUUUGUACAACUAUUCCUCUAUUAGAAGGGUUUACUAGCAUUUUUCAACAGCAACAAAUACUCUAGGCUAGAGAGGGAGUCUUUGCGUCUGUUCUCUGCAAGAACUCUUCAGCUUGGAAACCAGCUCUCCACCCUUACCUGGAGCCAGACUGAGAAAGAACAGACCUCAUCAUUGUACUGAAGAGAGCAAAUCUGCAUACAGCCAAGUCUUAGAUGAGGGACCAAAAUUCUGCUCUGCUUUCCAGACUCCUGCUGUUCUGAAAACCAACAAAAUAUAUGCAUUGGCAAAGAGCCAUGCCCAGAGCCUGGCUGCUCUGCAUUACUUGCUAUCAUCUGAAGGCUCAAAUGGCCCUGCCAUCACCUCCUCAUGCCUUGCAGAAAAUAGCAUGCAGUGCACUGGAAUGGCUAUUCUAAAAAUGAGGCGUUAUAAAGAGUUGAUAAUGGUUGAUGCUAUUGCUCGUGUAGCUAGUGUUGUAAGGUAAAAGGAGCAAUUAGCUCUCUUCUUCAGGGCUUGCAUCUAUUCGCAGAGAGAAGGCACAAAAAAAUGCCAUAUUCACCAGGUCAACCAUGGAUUGCUUCAGUUCUCCAAUAUAUCUGGCACUGGAGUGCACUGAAGAUCACUUGUAACACUAAAUGGCCCGGAGAUGUCUUCCUCUGAUGGCUUGCUGUGACCCAGCUGACCCUCGCCCAGCCAAGAAGGUGUGGGUGAGCUUGAUGUGAAGAAAUCAGUGAUGUUGUUGACUCAUACAGACUGUGUGAGCUACCUGGGGCUUUCUUGCUGUCUUGUACCUGCUUCAGCUGCUUCUACGGGGCGGUGCUACCCAUUUAUAGCUCUAAUGGGGUAGUUUUCAGCAUAGACAAAAGUUUAAGAAGGUGAUGGUGAUCUGAGGUUCUUGGUUACAAGACAUCUUACACCUAUGUAUCUUAGGUCCAUGUGUUUGCUGCCUUAAAAUCAGGCCAGCACAAGAUGUCUCAAGUCAAGUAUGCACAAUAAGCAAGCCUUUUGGAGAAGCACCAUCAGUCAUGGCUCCUUGUUGCAUCCAUUCAAACAAGGAGCAUCACGCUGCCUGGAGAGGCUAGGAAGGCACUCUCCUUCCCCACGAGGCAUGGGCUGGCCUGACCUUCCCAGAUUGCCAUUACCCACAUUAUCUGGUUUGUGUGUGUGUAGUUAGACACUGCUUUCACCACCAGGAAACUGAACUUUGGCAGAACCUAGGCUCCUUCAGUGUACUUGUGAGUAGCUCCGACCCUUCAGGAGCACACAUGAUGCUGAUUUCUCAUUGUCUCUGGCACCUCACCACCUGCUCCCUUUUGGGUUUCUCCACCUGGCCCUGGUGAUUCACUGCACAGGAGGGUCUCAGGAGGCCCUGUAACUCCUUCCCCUAAGACUCUUUUAAGGUCAUGAAGAGAGGACAUCCUGAGGGGUGGGGGAUAUUUGGUUGUGAAUCAGGGCUAACACAGACCUAGCUUGCUGCUACCUCACAGGCAUAAGGUUUAUGCCAUCCUGGGGGACAAGAUUGGAAAGGGUACAAAUGUGCACCAUCCAAGCAUGACACCAGCCUACUCUUAAGCAGUCUCCUCAGAGUGUCCUCAUAACCUUGUUACUGGCCGGUGCUGUAGGGACCAUGUGUUUGGAGAAUCGAGUGGGGCCCUUUCCUGCCUGGCAAUAAAAUCUAUUCUAAUUACA
RNAcentral lists this long non-coding RNA (1802 nucleotides) under Anser brachyrhynchus (Pink-footed goose). RNAcentral describes it as "lncRNA (ENSABRG00000012166.1)". The record is from RNAcentral. Lineage: Eukaryota; Metazoa; Chordata; Aves; Anseriformes; Anatidae.